CAUGGCCAUAAUUAUUCCGUUGGUUUUUCUCUCACACAGGGCUUGGCCUGCAGAGAUAGGAAAAUGAGACAGCGAGACUCCACUUCCGGGUUCUCAUGUAUUAAUCUCCUUUUGGGGGAAGUGAAAUUUGUCCAUUGAAAUCAAUGGGGGAGUCCAAGAUUUCACCAUAACUUUUGAGGAACUAGGGUGUACAGUCCUGAACAAAAGGUAGCAGCGGAAUGAAUUUUUAGCCAUUUCAAACUCAGAUCCAUUUUUAAAGUUUGCAAAGAUUCGGAAAAAUAGCACCCCCCCCAAAAAUCAAACCCAAUGUAAAUGCAGCCCGUUAUCCCACAUCGCACCAUGCUUGUGUCUGAGAGUGCCAACGACAGCCCCGCAGUUACAGCCAUUGUGGGCUGGGGUUAGACUGCGAGUGACUUAAUUCUUCAGUAUAAGAUAAUGCAAGUUUAUUGCGGUUCGGCUGUACGACCACGGCUGGAAGAAUCGCGUAGUCCAGCGCUGUUAUUCCAUGCUGAAAAUGGGAGACUGGACUGAGCCUGAGAGAAUAUCAUAGACGAGCACUACCGUGAUAUUCCCGUAGCGCCGACGGGGGCCCGUGACUGCGAGGGAAACUUAGGCCAAGGCAGCAGUGUAGAGAUGGGCUUGAGACCUCAGAAAACAUCACUUAAAAUUGCCGCAGAAUCAAUGUAGUUGCAUUGUGUCCGCCGACCGGUUUCCUCUGUCAAGAUACAAGAACUAAGAAAAAGCAUUUCUGUCCUUGCCGAUAUCUUAUUUAUUUAUAAUUUAUUAAAAGCUUUUGUAUGCCGUCCUAUUAUACAAGAUCUCAGAACGGCUUACAAUAUGUAAUGUUCUCUUUUUGUAGGACAUGACUGCUUUGCCAAAAUCCUGUCUUUUUCUCUGCACUUUUCCCCAUUUCGGCCUGGGCGUGACACGGCGAGCUAUCACGAGAACGAACUUCAGCCCCGCAUUUCAUUCUAACUGGAUGCCUCGAUUUCGAGAGGGAGACGCUCGCCCGGUCACAUGCCCAAAUCCGCAGUGGGCGUGGCGAUGUGUAAGACGUGUCUCGUUGUGCUGCUCUGUCAUCUCCAGGUUCCCAUCGGGAAAUCAUGUUUAAAUAACCUUAGGGACGAGGGUUGACAAAAACUGAGCACAACUAUCAAGGAUAAGACAUUUUGGAGGGAAUGCAUUCCUGAGUCUGAGAUAAUAUGAUGGCAAAUAACAACAACAAUGCAUACAAGAGUCUCUUCAUUUAGAUUGCAAACCAGGAGUCUUUAAACAUUUCCAUUCCUAGAUCAUUUUCCCUUUUUAUGUUUAAUUUUUUAUGCUUGCUGGUUCCCUGUUAACAUAUUAUUGAUAUUUAACAUAAAACGUUAUGUUCAUGGAAUUUUCCUAUCCUUUUUAAUUCCUAUUUUCUUCUUGACAUUUUAUUAUUGUUUUUUUUUCAAAAUAAUAAUGGGUAAUAACAAAUAUGUGUGACUAUUUCUUUACAGCCUUUUUAUUAUUUCUCUAUUUAUCCAAGCAAGCUCAUCUGAUAAACUUAAGACUCAUCAUACUAAUAGUCACACCAUAGAGUUCCAUAUGUCAAGUAUUAUUCAUAGGAUCUUUCAAAGCUGGGCAACACUUGGGAAAUCUAUGGCCAACCUGACUAAAUUGUACUAGUUUUAUCCGAGUUGUGCCCUUGAAACUGGCUUUCCUUUCAUUUAGAAUUUUUCUAAUUUGUAUAGCUGUUUGCUUGGCUAAACCUGCUGCAACACCAACCUAUGAUGUAUUCAUGGUGCAGCCAUAGUACAGAUUUCAGUGAAACAAAACAAAUCCAUAACAAAGAAAGGAAGUCUUUUAACUAUCAAAAGGAUGUGAUGAAUCUAUUUACAUUGGUGGACUUCAAUCAAAAAGUUGAUUUUUACAUUGGAUCAGUUAGUGUGUCCUCAUUAUACGUUUUGUCAUUUUUAGUUUUGUAUGCAACUAUCCAUAGCUAUUACUGUUAUGGCUGAAUGGCAAUACUUGACAUGGCAAAAUUUGUUAGAAUUGAAGUUUGGCCUUGUCACUUUCACAGCUUCAGAGUCUCCUUUGUAUUGAAAGUACUUAUAGAGGCCGAUUAGAUAUAUCAUCCUAUGAUCUGCAUUUAUAUAUACUUAUUAUUGGUGAUCAAAUGGGAAAUACAGGGUCAAAUAGGAAUAGAAUAGGGAACUGGACUAUCCUGUUUUGCCUAAUCAAUGGAUUACCAUUCUAAUGUUUCUGUUUAAAGUGCCAAUGGAUCUUAGGUUACAUCUUAUUCUGGAAAAAAUGUUUGUUCUGUGUUAAUUGGAUUACACAAGAUCUUUAAUAAGAUUCUGUCUAAGUCAGCCAAAGAAAUCAAAAUUUUAGAAAAAAAGACUGGAAAAUAUUUUCUACCACUCAAUAGGAAUUCUAUCACUACAAUAGGAAUUCUAUCAUUAUAUCAGUAAUUCUAUCUAUUACUGUGUAUCAAACUAAAUAGCGAGGGUCUCAUAUCAAAAUUUACACCUGUUCAGAGAGGUGCUAGAAAGGGCUAUGUUUUGGCAUCUCAUUUGUUUAACCUAUACUUAAAUGACUUUGUCCCAGGAUUAUGUAAUGUUACUACGUAAUGUUUCUUUGCGGUGGCGCCCAGAUUAUGGAAUGUGCUCCCCAGAGAGAUUUGCCUGGCACUGAGUUUGUAUUCUUUUCAGCACCAGGUUAAAACCUUUUAUUUAACUGUUAUUUUAA
This is a long non-coding RNA of Varanus komodoensis (Komodo dragon), 2718 nucleotides long. RefSeq lists it as uncharacterized. Lineage: Eukaryota; Metazoa; Chordata; Lepidosauria; Squamata; Varanidae. The record is from RefSeq and is a predicted model, not a curated record. The transcript has 3 exons.